AGUUUGAUCAUGGCUCAGGAUAGAACGCUGGUCGGCGUGCUUAACACAUGCAAGUCGAACGGAGUUUAGAUGAAAGCUUGCUUUUGACUAAACUUAGUGGCGGACGGGUGAGUAACGCGUGGGUAACCUGCCUUAUACAGGGGGAUAACAGUCGGAAACGACUGCUAAUACCGCAUAAGCGCACGGAAUCGCAUGAUUCAGUGUGAAAAGAUUUAUCGGUAUAAGAUGGACCCGCGUCUGAUUUAGCUAGUUGGUGAGGUAACGGCCCACCAAGGCGACGAUCAGUAGCCGGCCUGAGAGGGUGAACGGCCACAUUGGGACUGAGACACGGCCCAAACUCCUACGGGAGGCAGCAGUGGGGAAUAUUGCACAAUGGGGGAAACCCUGAUUGCAGCGACGCCGCGUGAGUGAAGAAGUAUUUCGGUAUGUAAAGCUCUAUCAGCAGGGAAGAAAAUGACGGUACCUGACUAAGAAGCCCCGGCUAACUACGUGCCAGCCGCCGC
Molecule: ribosomal RNA, 503 nt
Filed under: uncultured bacterium
Lineage: Bacteria
Description: bacterial SSU rRNA
Rfam family: Bacterial small subunit ribosomal RNA
Source: RNAcentral